This 440-nucleotide ribosomal RNA is filed under the name uncultured bacterium. Its description in RNAcentral is "partial 16S ribosomal RNA". It matches the Rfam family "Bacterial small subunit ribosomal RNA", at positions 338 to 795 of the family's 1533-position model. The record is from RNAcentral.
CCUACGGGAGGCAGCAGUAGGGAAUAUUGCUCAAUGGGGGAAACCCUGACGCAGCAACGCCGCGUGGAGGAUGAAGGUUUUCGGAUUGUAAACUCCUUUUGUUAGAGAAGAUAAUGACGGUAUCUAACGAAUAAGCACCGGCUAACUCCGUGCCAGCAGCCGCGGUAAUACGGAGGGUGCAAGCGUUACUCGGAAUCACUGGGCGUAAAGGGCGCGUAGGCGGGAUAGCAAGUCAGAUGUGAAAUCCUAUGGCUUAACCAUAGAACUGCAUUUGAAACUGUUAUUCUAGAGUAUGGGAGAGGUAGGUGGAAUUCUUGGUGUAGGGGUAAAAUCCGUAGAGAUCAAGAGGAAUACGCAUUGCGAAGGCGACCUGCUAGAACAUAACUGACGCUGAGGCGCGAAAGCGUGGGGAGCAAACAGGAUUAGAUACCCGAGUAGUC